CCUACGGGUGGCAGCAGUGGGGAAUAUUGGACAAUGGGCGAAAGCCUGAUCCAGCCAUGCCGCGUGUGUGAAGAAGGCCUUCGGGUUGUAAAGCACUUUCAGUGGGGAAGAAAGCCUUGGGGCUAAUACCCUCGAGGAAGGACAUCACCCACAGAAGAAGCACCGGCUAACUCCGUGCCAGCAGCCGCGGUAAUACGGAGGGUGCGAGCGUUAAUCGGAAUUACUGGGCGUAAAGCGCGCGUAGGCGGUCUGAUAAGCCGGUUGUGAAAGCCCCGGGCUCAACCUGGGAACGGCAUCCGGAACUGUCAGGCUAGAGCGCAGGAGAGGAAGGUAGAAUUCCCGGUGUAGCGGUGAAAUGCGUAGAGAUCGGGAGGAAUACCAGUGGCGAAGGCGGCCUUCUGGACUGACACUGACGCUGAGGUGCGAAAGCGUGGGUAGCAAACAGGAUUAGAUACCCCAGUAGUC
RNAcentral lists this ribosomal RNA (465 nucleotides) under Vreelandella stevensii. RNAcentral's name for it is "partial 16S ribosomal RNA". It matches the Rfam family "Bacterial small subunit ribosomal RNA", at positions 338 to 795 of the family's 1533-position model. The record is from RNAcentral. Lineage: Bacteria; Pseudomonadati; Pseudomonadota; Gammaproteobacteria; Oceanospirillales; Halomonadaceae.